UGGCCGCGAGAGCUCAGCCGCCCGCUGGCCGCCAGAGCCCGGAUUGGCCGAGCACCGCCCAGCGGCGACGCCUCCUGGCGGUCGCGGCGAGAGGGACACGUGGAGUUCGGGGGUGGUUGGUUUUACUCGGUCGGGCUCGGCCGCGGUCACGACGCGUCACGUGAGGCGGGCAAGAUGGCGGCUCCCGCGGACGGCGCCGACCUGGAGGCAUCGCUGUUGAGCUUCGAGAAGCUGGACCGCGCCUCCCCGGACCUGUGGCCCGAGCAGCUGCCCGGCGUCGCCGAGUUCGCCGCUUCCUUCAAAAGCCCUAUUACAAGUUCUCCUCCCAAAUGGAUGGCUGAAUUGGAAAAUGAUGAUAUCGACAUGUUAAAGGAGCUGGGGAGCCUCACUACAGCCAACCUGAUGGAAAAAGUCCGUGGCCUGCAGAACCUGGCUUACCAGCUGGGACUGGAUGAAUAAUCUUUGCCCUGAUCUUAACAAAUGCUGUUCCACUCACAAAGAUGAGCUCAUAAUUUUGGCUGUGAUCAAGACCUCCAUACAUUCUCCACACACUUUGCUAGAGAAAUGACUCGUGGGAAAUUCCUGAACAUCCUAGAGAAACCCAAAAAGUAGCUGCCACACCUGGAUUUUGUACAAAAAUACCCUGACUGGACCAUUUUACGUCCCGUGGAUCCAGAUGAACCCCAGAACUUCAAAGGAGGGAGUACAAAGCUCUUGCUCUAGACCUUCAGAAGCAAACAGCUCUUUUGCUUCCACAGCUCUUCUUGUUGUGGAGGGAGACGUGUUGCAUACACUGGUCCCAAGGACUGCGAUUUGUUGCGUUGGAACUCAGAUUUCAUCUAACCUUAAGACAUCCAACAGGAGGACUCAGCCCUCACAUGCUGUUAAAGAAUUACCUGGGAGGGUAUUUUAAUCAGCUGUUUAAAGUGAACAGGCACAGUGUCCUUAUUCCAUUGCUCCCAGUGGCAGCACCUGUCCGAAGCUCACAAAAGAUCUGACGCUGGCCAGUGUGCACCAGGAGGCAUCGACCCUUUUGUGCGUCUUUUGUCUUAGAUGCGUUGAUUUGCUACGUGUAACUUCUGUGCUGAAAGAUUUGAGCAGAUUUGGGGUGCAGAGUGCCCGGUGGUGCUGGUUUGGCAGGAGCACGUGCUGUUGGUGCCGGAGCGCAGUCUGUGCCAUACUUCUAGUUCCUCGCCGCCUUCAGAGAAGCACGUCUGGUGCUCCAAGGAGAACCUCCAGACCUUCAUCUCAUCGCAAAAUGGUUCUCUAGAGAAAUCGAGACUAGCAGACUGUAGGGAGCAGGAGGUGUUACUGUAUCAUGAAGGAAAAUAUCCCUAUGGAAACUUUGGCCAGUACACAAAGAAACAGGUUUGGCAGACCACUGCAGUUCUCUGCAUCUUACAGAGCUAGAAACUGAAAAAUGUUAUAAAGUUGAAAGGUAGUAAUAUUUUCAGUUAAUUACUCCAAGAAGGGGUAACAUUGCAAAGAUGGUCUGCUUGUACAGAAUCUUAACGCUUCUGACAAUAAUAUUUUGCAGUAUUUUAAAUUACUUAUAAACCAGCAAACUCAAAAUUUUCUUCCCCUACAAAACCAGAGUUUUUAAGGCAGAAUUUUCUGUGACCUGGUCUCUUUCAGUAGACCGUUUUGGGCUUUAUUUAUCUUGCAGUUUAGUGCCUUUUCCUUCUGUUAAUGCGCUUCUGCAUAUUCACCCCUGAGAAGAAGGACCAUGUUCAGCAUUUAAAUUUUAUUUAAGAGAAUUUUUUUUUUAUUUCAUCCUCUUUCCUUUUCCUAGAAAACAACAUUUUAAGCGUUAGUAAAUAUUUUCUUUCUACAUCACAACAUAAUAUUGAAACAUUGGAUGAAGAAGAGAGUUUUUUCUCCAUUUAGAAAUGUUAUUUUCAGCCUGCAGGCUUUUCAAAACUUGUAAUUUCCAAAGUUGCAGUCACAUGUGAGAGGAGAAAUUACUUGCAAAUAGGCAGAUCAUUGCAUUUUCUGUCUUUGCAGAGAGAGGAGACUCUUCUCAGGUGCAUGUGCAAUAAAGAGGAGGAGAUUUUUUUAAUCAAGUAGACUUCUCUGAACUUUUACUAAAAGGCUGGUGGCCUUCUGCUUUGCAGUCUGUGGUCUUGGUUAUUACCAGUCAGAACUGGGCUCAUUUGGGACAGGUCCUGUUGACAGCGUUUAAGCAGUUAAAUCCUACAUCCCGAAGGACCCUGCACAAAUACUGAGUGUUUAGGAAUGUUAGGAGUCUGAUUUAAAACCUAACAGAUUUCAUUCUGUACUUCACAGUUUAUCCAGGCCUGUGUUUAGCAGGAACUCCAUCCCUUGAGAACAUGAGAUUUAAGACAGGUCAAUGUGAAGAGAAGCUAAAAGUGGCAAUUUAGAGACAGACAAGAAACCUGCUGGUGUAAACUGAUGUUGGUGUAGCUCUAAGUAUUAAAUGAUACAAUUUGAAUGCAAUUUAAAGUCUGUAUACUAGAUAUAUAAUGUAUAUAUACACAUAUGACGUAAUAGGAUGCUUCGUCUAUAUCACCAGUAUGAGUUUGUGCAUUUUAUAGAGGUUUGUUGAUCCAACACAUCAAGAAAUUGAGACAUUAAGAAAGGGGGAGGAAUACAGGAGAAGAUAUGAAAGCCUGGCAUGGAAGUAUAUGUAUAUUUUCUGAUACAUUUAGUAAGGACUUUCAAACUUGAGGCAGUUUUUAAUAACAUACGUUUUGUUUGUUUGGGUUUUUUUUUUAAAAAGCCUUUUACCAUAUGCAGUACUUAUCUUCUAUAGGGCAGCCAGUAACAUAUGCUUUAGAAUUGUGAUAUUUAUUGGUUUUGUAAUUGGCAUCUGUAGAGAUGAGUCAGUGAAGUAUUUUUUUAAUUGGUGAUGUUCAUAUGUAUUUUUGUGGGCUAGCUAGAGAAUUGUAAUCUAUCAGUGAUUGUUCUGUGGUUUGAUAAUAAACAAAUGCAAAGCUGAGAUUCAUCUGGGUUUCCAGAAUAGCUCUCUGAGAUGCAAAAGCUUUUGCUUUACCACCUGAGCAAUACUCUCCCUCAGGCUUUUCUUCACACGUCUGUAUGCCACCACCUUAAGGUUUGGCCUGUGGAUGCUCCAUUCCCAUCAGUAAAUGAAAAUUUGGCAAUAUCCAAAUGGUACUAAGGGUUUUCAUACGCUUUUGAACCCUAUUUUUUUCCUUCAGCUAUGUCCUUCCCGACAUCCCUGCAGUAUCUAUCUAUGCCAGAAGAUCUGGGUGACUUUUUUUGUGGAUAACCAUCUGUAUUUUGAAACAAAUGACUGAGAAAAGAUAAAUGAUGGGAAUGAAGAGUAUAAGAAGAUCAAGACUUGGUAAUAUUAAUUGAGCUAAUGCUUUGCUUUAUAAAGUGUUCUCAUGUGUUGCUAUGUUAAACGUUACUGUGUGAUUCUUGGAAAUAAACCCAAUGUGUAUUUAGUUCCUUUUAAGUGCCAGUGUUACAUAUACUCAGUUGUAAAGGUUAUUCACUUCAGUCUUGGAGUAUCAAAUACUUUGCUGUUCAGUUCAACUGAGAAGAAAUUCUUGUUUGUUAUAUUAAUCAUUAUCAAAAUAAAAGUCUAGUUGCACUGGCAA
This is an RNA transcript of Columba livia (rock pigeon), 3584 nucleotides long. It is a transcript of the gene named lin-52 DREAM MuvB core complex component, with no coding region annotated. The transcript is spliced from 7 exons. The record is from RefSeq and is a predicted model, not a curated record. Lineage: Eukaryota; Metazoa; Chordata; Aves; Columbiformes; Columbidae.